This 538-nucleotide ribosomal RNA is filed under the name Acallorneuma sardiniense sardiniense. RNAcentral's name for it is "partial 16S ribosomal RNA". It matches the Rfam family "Bacterial large subunit ribosomal RNA", at positions 1819 to 2625 of the family's 2925-position model. The record is from RNAcentral. Lineage: Eukaryota; Metazoa; Arthropoda; Insecta; Coleoptera; Curculionidae.
GGCCUUUUGAUUAUAAUUUAAGGUCUGGCCUGCCCAAUGAGUAGAGUUUAAUGGCCGCGGUAUUUUGACCGUGCAAAGGUAGCAUAAUCAUUAGUUUUUUAAUUGAAAGCUUGUAUGAAGGGUUUGAUGAGAAAAAAGCUGUCUCUAUUUAAAUUUAUUAGAAUUUUAUUUUUAAGUUAAAAAGCUUAAAUAUUUAUAAAAGACGAGAAGACCCUAUAGAGUUUUAUAUUUUUUAGGUUUAGUAUAUUUAGGAAUAUUUAAUACUAAUCUGGUAAAGUAUUUAGUUGGGGUGAUUAAAAAAUUUAAUAAACUUUUUUUAUAUUAAGAACAUUUAUUUAUGAAUAUUUGAUCCUUUAUUUAAGAUUAAAAGAAUAAAUUACCUUAGGGAUAACAGCGUAAUCUUUUUUUAGAGUUCAAAUCAAAAGAAGGGAUUGCGACCUCGAUGUUGGAUUAAAAGAAAAUAUUGGUGUAGAAGCUAAUAGUUUAGGUCUGUUCGACCUUUAAAAUUUUACAUGAUCUGAGUUUAAACCGGUGUGAG